AUACCUUUCUCGGCCUUUUGGCUAAGAUCAAGUGUAGUAUCUGUUCUUAUCAGUUUAAUAUCUGAUAUGUGGGUCAUUGGCCCACACGAUAUUAAAUUAAUUUUUUAAGGGGGAGAGGCCACCACAAUAGCUUGCUAUUGGGCUUCUCAAGCGUCGCCUAUGUGUUGCACUACUGCAUUGGCCGGCACACCCCAC
This is a small nuclear RNA of Lupinus angustifolius (narrow-leaved blue lupine), 195 nucleotides long. It matches the Rfam family "U2 spliceosomal RNA". Rfam says of the family: U2 is a small nuclear RNA (snRNA) component of the spliceosome (involved in pre-mRNA splicing). Complementary binding between U2 snRNA (in an area lying towards the 5' end but 3' to hairpin I) and the branchpoint sequence (BPS) of the intron results the bulging out of an unpaired adenosine, on the BPS, which initiates a nucleophilic attack at the intronic 5' splice site, thus starting the first of two transesterification reactions that mediate splicing. The record is from Rfam. Lineage: Eukaryota; Viridiplantae; Streptophyta; Magnoliopsida; Fabales; Fabaceae.